AAUGACAACACUAUUGCAGAGGUUUUAGCUAAUAGUUAAAGUGGAUUUAAUACACAAGGGGUGUCUGUUAACGCUCUCUAGAACCUCAAAAAUAUGAUUAUAAUGAAGUCUGUUUAUUUUAUUGGAGUACUUUGGUGCCACUCCCUCAGCAUUCAUCUACAGCUCGUGUGCUGCUCUCUGAUGAUGAGAUGGUGCUGGCCCGUCCUGCACUCUCCAGCUGAGAUCCAGAAGAGGAUGUGAUGGACCACAAAAGACAGCUUUUGUGACAUCCACUGGCUUCUGCAAACACCAUGCUAAUCUGACCACAGAACGUGUAGCACAGCACCAGCGUAAUUUGAUUCGCAGCACAUUGUGCUUACACGCUCCAAAUCUGCCUUAUGCCUGUGAUAUCGAAGCACCUCCGCGUUUGCUGGAGCCCCACCAAAUGAACGCGGGAAAGGAAAAAAACCUGAACCAGACGAUGGACAGUGGGGGCCAAAUGAAAGCUCUCAGAAUCACUGUACAUACCCAUCGGUCAAACAGUCCAUUUCUGCCCUGACGUCGCUAUGGUCUGUCAGUCUCUGCUUGGCAUAGGAGGAAGUUGGAAUAAUCUGUGGAAACAAAUAUAUAUCAUAUCCUGUGCAAUUUUUAAAUCCCCAUGAAGGUCAAAAUAAAUAAAUAAAUAAA
This is a long non-coding RNA of Cyprinus carpio (common carp), 666 nucleotides long. RefSeq lists it as uncharacterized. The transcript is spliced from 3 exons. The record is from RefSeq and is a predicted model, not a curated record. Lineage: Eukaryota; Metazoa; Chordata; Actinopteri; Cypriniformes; Cyprinidae.